CGCGGUAAUUCCAGCUCCAAUAGCGUAUAUUUAAGUUGUUGCAGUUAAAAAGCUCGUAGUUGGAUUUCGGGUGGGUUCCAGCGGUCGGCCUAUGGUCAGUACUGCUGUGGCCCUCCUUUCUGUUCGUAAGGCUCUCCUGGGCUUCACUGUCCGGGAAGUCGUGCGAGCAUUUUUACCUUGAGUAAAUUAGCGUGUUCAAAGCAAGCCUGCGCUCUGAAUACUUUAGCAUGGAAUAUCGCGAUAGGACUCUGGCCUAUCUCGUUGGUCUGUAGGACCGGAGUAAUGAUUAAGAGGGACAGUCGGGGGCAUUCGUAUUUCAUUGUCAGAGGUGAAAUUCUUGGAUUUAUGAAAGACGAACUACUGCGAAAGCAUUUGCCAAGGAUGUUUUCAUUAAUCAAGAACGAAAGUUGGGGGCUCGAAGACGAUUAGAUACCGUCGUAGUCUCAACCAUAAACGAUGCCGACUAGGGAUUGGAGGAUGUUCUUUAGAUGACUUCUCCAGCACCUUAUGAGAAAUCAAAGUUUUUGGGUUCCGGGGGGAGUAUGGUCGCAAGGCUGAAACUUAAAGGAAUUGACGG
This 577-nucleotide ribosomal RNA is filed under the name Nannochloris sp. MNURFJ11. RNAcentral describes it as "SSU rRNA". It matches the Rfam family "Eukaryotic small subunit ribosomal RNA", at positions 575 to 1159 of the family's 1831-position model. Lineage: Eukaryota; Viridiplantae; Chlorophyta; Trebouxiophyceae; Chlorellales; Chlorellaceae. The record is from RNAcentral.